UCUACGGGAGGCAGCAGUGGGGAAUAUUGCGCAAUGGGCGAAAGCCUGACGCAGCGACGCCGCGUGAGGGAUGAAGGUCUUCGGAUCGUAAACCUCUGUCAGCAGGGAAGAACGGUCACUGUGCUAAUCAGCAGUGAAUUGACGGUACCUGCAAAGGAAGCACCGGCUAACUCCGUGCCAGCAGCCGCGGUAAUACGGAGGGUGCGAGCGUUAAUCGGAAUUACUGGGCGUAAAGCGCUCGUAGGCGGUAUGUCAAGUCAAGGGUGAAAUCCCCGCGCUCAACGUGGGAACUGCCUUUGAAACUGGCAAACUGGAGUGUGUGUGAGGAUAGUAGAAUUCCAGGUGUAGGAGUGAAAUCCGUAGAUAUCUGGAGGAACAUCAGUGGCGAAGGCGACUAUCUGGCACAUAACUGACGCUGAGGAGCGAAAGCGUGGGUAGCAAACAGGAUUAGAUACCCCUGUAGUC
Molecule: ribosomal RNA, 465 nt
Filed under: uncultured bacterium
Lineage: Bacteria
Description: partial 16S ribosomal RNA
Rfam family: Bacterial small subunit ribosomal RNA
Source: RNAcentral